GUUUGCUGAAUUAAUGGUCCCUAUCGUAGCUAAUGUCUGAAUGCUUACCAUGACCAGGCACGGUAUAGGCAAUCUCCAUGCAUGAUCUCAUUGAAUUCAACGAUUUCCUGUAGUCUUAGAGACCUGUCAAUAUCUCCUGCUACAUGAGCUCAGCUGCCAUCAAGCACUGUGUUCGCUGCUUCCUUCACAUCUGCUGUCUUAAGGGAGCUCUCACUUCCAUGCGGCCCCCGUGGAGCUGUAAUUUGGCCUCAAUGGGACCAGAUGCCAGGUUUCUCACCUGGCUUCUUCCUAAGGCUUCCAGCCUUAGAGAAAGUUACUUAGGCCUUAUUGGAACUAUGGGCAGCCAGGGCCCCUGUCACCAACCUGUCUCCAGACCUAUGGCAAGGCCUUCAGCAGGAUUCUGCCCUCCAGAGCCACUUCCUCUGCUCCCCCAGCCUCCAGUGCAGUAUCUCACUGAAUGGUGAAAGCACAGCUGUCUCUUUCCCAGCUGUAUCUUGCCCCCCAGCACACUUCCUGGCUGAGAUAAACAUUCAGCAUUUUUUUUUUUUUGAGAUGGAGUCUCACUCUGUUGCCCAGGCAGGAGGGCAGUGGCGCGAUCUGGGCUUACUGCAACCUCCGCCUCCCUCCCGGAUUCAAGCAAUUCUGCCUCAGCCUUCUGAGUAGCUGGGAUUACAGGUGCCCACCACCAAGCCCGGCUAAUUUUUGUAUUUUUAGUAGAGACAGGGUUUUACCAUGUUGGCCAGGCUGGUCUCGAACUCCUGACCUCAAGUGGUCUGCCCACCUCGGCCUCCCAAAGUGCAGGGAUUGCAGGUGUGGGCCACGACAUCCGGCCAACACUCAGUAUUUGACUAAUAAAUGAAUAAAUAGUCCGUAGGUUCUGGAAACUUCAGAAAACCUUAGCCAAACAUCCUUCUGUCAUGAAAAUUGUAUCAAAGUUUUCAAAAAUAAUACAUUUAAUUCUACAGAACAAUUUGCCAGAACAAGAAAGGCAGUAUUUUUUGGGGGAAGAUAUCAACGAUUCAAUUUUUGUAAAGUCAACUACUUUGCAAAUAUCUAGGAAAAUACCUGAGGGAAGGAGUUAAUUGUUGUGCCUUUGGAGGAGUGGAGAACUUUCAGUAUAUACUGAAUUUUCAAAAAUCUUAACAAACGUGUCAUUUUGUAAUUAAAAAUCACAAAAGAGUGGGCUGGGUAUGGUGGCUCACGCCUGUAAUCCUACCACUUUGGGAGGCCAAGGCGAGUGUAUCGCUUGAGCUCAGGAGUUUGAAACCAGCCUGGGCAAUAUGGUGAAAUCCCAUCUCUACAAAAAAAUUAGCCCAGCAUGAUGGUGUGUGCCUGUAGUCCCAGCCUCCCCAGUAGCUGGGUCUACAGGUGCCCGCCACCACGCCUGGCUAAUUUUUUGUAUUUUUAGUAGAGGCGGGAUUUCACCGUGUUAGCCAGGAUGGUCUCAAUCUCCUGACCUCGUGAUCCGCCCGCCUCGGCCUCCCAAAGUGCUGGGAUUACAGGCAUGAGCCACUGCGCCCGGCCAAUUUUUGUGUUUUUAGUAGAGAUGGGGUUUCACCAUCUUGGCCAGGUUGGUCUUAAACUUCUGACAUUGUGAUCCACCCGCCUCGGCCUCCCAAAGUGCUGGGAUUACAGGUGUGAGCCACUGCGCCAGGCCAAGACUCAGUCUC
RNAcentral lists this long non-coding RNA (1670 nucleotides) under Homo sapiens (human). RNAcentral's name for it is "non-protein coding lnc-SMARCB1-1:3". Lineage: Eukaryota; Metazoa; Chordata; Mammalia; Primates; Hominidae. The record is from RNAcentral.